Eleginops maclovinus (Patagonian blennie) is the source of this 1600-nucleotide long non-coding RNA. RefSeq lists it as uncharacterized. NCBI's taxonomy places the organism in Eukaryota, Metazoa, Chordata, Actinopteri, Perciformes, Eleginopidae. The transcript is spliced from 3 exons. The record is from RefSeq and is a predicted model, not a curated record.
ACUGUCCGGCUGUGUAAUGGCGACGACCGCGGUGAGGUGCACAUGUGUAGUGUAGAGAGGGAAAAAGUGUCCAAUUUUAUCACGUUCUGUGUAAAAUAAAGUGGCGGAUGUUUCAACGGCACCCAAACGCCUCCUCAUCAUUUUGUUAUGGUAAAAAUAGCCUGGGCGGCUGGUUACCGGCCUGACAACGAGCCAAGUUCAGACAUUCAAAGGCCAGUGAGCAUCCCAACUACGGUUCGGAGCCGAGAUACUGUCCGAGGCUGAAAGAAAGGCAUCAUAUAAUCGUAUUGGGAUUCAUGUGGGUUAAUACCUGUGGACCGGAGGGUGAGGGUGACAAGCAUCAGUCUCACUUUCCUUUUUUAUUUCAAUUCUACGGAGCCCCCUAGCGGACAUGCAAAAGUCAAUGUACUUCUGGGGCAGUUCGGCAACCUACUGCAGCACUCUGAGGCAGCUUGUAACCCAUGGAAUAGUCGUGGAGGAGGAUUUGGCAAGGUUUCUUCGCUCCAGAGAGGUCCCACAAGAGGACAUCAUGAACAUUCAAAGUGACAAGGUUGACAAGGCAGUGCUAACCAUCAUGACUGAUGAACAAAUGGCAACAUAUAUCACUUCAUAUGGUGACCAAGUACCUGUCCUCUCCUUCUGUCAACAAACAAAGUGCAGCACAGAUAAAGAGACUCUUCUACAGAAAUUAAGAGAUAAAAUAUGAGCACGGGAAAGUAGAUCAAAGACAAAAGGAGCAUUGUGUGGUGCAUCAGGUGUGUUCCAAAAGGAAGGUGAAGGCAUGUCAAGAAAAGGAAAUAAUGCAGCAGAAAAGACUUCCAGGAAGAUUGAAAUUGGAUGGCUUCAUUUUAACAACAAGGAAUACCAACAAGUGAGGACCAGCAAUGGCGGAGGAACAAGACAUGCAACGGUGGAAAAAACAACAACUGUUGCUCAACUUUUGGAAAUGGGAAAGAAGCUAUUUUUCCCAGAUGGCCACUCAACACAAGGGCCAGUUGAAGACUUCACCUUUGAUGUCUGUGAUUUUAAAAGAAACCAGAUCCCUUUAAAUGACACUGUUGGCAGACUUUAUGAACAAAUCAACCUGAAGCUGCUUAAAUUUUACAUAUCCACAAACGAAGAAGCCCACUCAGCAGAUCAAUCCUCAUCUGAGGUAGAAAAACAGUGAAGUUUCCUUAUCUGUAGAUUCAUUAGACAUCACUGAGGGAGCAGACUCACCGUUGACUACACAUGGAUCUGUUGAUGCAGAUGAAUUGAUUACAGAUCUGCCCGAGCUUGGAAAUUCAUCUGACAGCGACAAUAGCGAACAGAAUCUGCAUUUCCAGAUACAACCAAGAUCGAAAAAACAAAGAGCAACCUCUGAGACUGCAGAAGGUCCAAGAAAAUCACAUUGCUCACAUUCAACCCCAACAGACAUGAACACAAUUCACAUUGGCUAGAUGUAGGGCACCAACUGCAUUGAAAUGAUUGAUCUGAACAGUGCAGUUUCUGAUGACUCCCCACAAACAGAGCCUUGGGUAAGGGGGUAGAAAUGCAAAUAUAUGUAUUAAAACCAGUAAACACAGAAAAAAUAGAGAAAUGUAUUGCUACUUCAAUUCAA